This 285-nucleotide signal recognition particle RNA is filed under the name Marmota monax (woodchuck). It matches the Rfam family "Metazoan signal recognition particle RNA". Rfam says of the family: The signal recognition particle (SRP) is a universally conserved ribonucleoprotein. It is involved in the co-translational targeting of proteins to membranes. The eukaryotic SRP consists of a 300-nucleotide 7S RNA and six proteins: SRPs 72, 68, 54, 19, 14, and 9. Lineage: Eukaryota; Metazoa; Chordata; Mammalia; Rodentia; Sciuridae. The record is from RNAcentral.
GCCUGGCGCGGUGGCGCGCCCCUGUAGUCCCAGCUGCUUGGGAGGCUGAGGUGGGAGGAUUGCUUGAGUCCAGGAGUUCUGGGCUGUAGAGGGCUAUGCCGAUUGGGUAUCCGCACUAAGUUCUGCAUCAAUAUGGUGACCUCCCAGGAGCUGGAGGCCACCAGGUUGCCUAAGUAGGGGUGGACCAGCCCAGGUCAGAAAGGAAGCCAAAAAGGGCAGCAGAAAAGGUUAUAUUUCUAAGAAAAUGAGUAAAACCAAAGAGAAAGGGGAAUAAAGGGAAAACAG